Molecule: RNA transcript, 1054 nt
Organism: Andrographis paniculata
Lineage: Eukaryota; Viridiplantae; Streptophyta; Magnoliopsida; Lamiales; Acanthaceae
Gene name: histone H3-like centromeric protein CENH3
Exons: 7
Source: RefSeq, a predicted model, not a curated record
GCCGGUUCAAACCGUAAACCGGAGGUUUGAACCGGCGGUUCACGGUUCGAAAAAAUCACAAGCCGAAACCGAACCGUCAGAAUGACGGUUUCGGUUCGGUUUGGCCGCGGUUUCGGUUUGAACCGUAACCGACGGUUCGAAAACCGGAGAACCGGCGGUUCGAACCGUCGGUUCGAAACCGAAUGGGCAAGUCUGUUCUCUGGUUUAAUCAGAAAUCCAAAAAAGUCAAAUAAAACCCGAGCGGGAACUUUUCACCUCUUCCUUUCUCUCUCUGUGCGCAACGGGAAAAAAAGAACAUUCAUGGCGAGAGUGAAACAACGGGCGCAGAAAGGUUCUCGCAGAAAAUCCACCGGAGCCGGACCUUCAUCUUCAACUCCUGUGUCGUCGGCAAGGAGAAGAAGUCUCUCCGGUGGUGCUGCUGCUACACCAAAUAGGGGGGAGGGGCAAGGUAAGACAAAGCGUCGGAAUCGGCCUGGGACAGUGGCUUUACGUGAGAUUAGGAAAUAUCAGAAGUCUUGGAACCUUCUAAUUCCUGCCGCUCCCUUUAUUAGAGUGUUGAAUGGCAGGUUAAAGAGAUUAGCUUCUCAUUUGCUCCAAGCAUCGGACGAUGGCAAGCAGAAGCUUUGGUUGUACUUCAGGAGGCUGCUGAGGAUUACAUAGUUCAGUUGUUUGAAGAGGCAGUGCUAUGUGCGGUUCAUGCAAAGCGGGUGACCGUUAUGAAGAAGGAUUUUGAGCUGGCACGUCGAAUUGGAGGCAAAGGGCGGCCCUGGUGAUAUAACCGCAAACCCGAAUUUGUCACCAUUAUUACAUUGUAAGCACCUCUUAGCAGCUCUAUUGAUUUAAACAAUGAUUAAGGAUUCUUGAAGUUGUUAGGCGAAUUGUUUUAGAAGGUAGAUGUGUAACAAAACCCGAACAUCGCUGUAAUUGGCGCCUGUAUGCUGCAAAGUGCACUUAACUGUGUCACACAAACAGCCCUGUUGUUAUAUAUAUUUGUGUAACUUCCGUGAAUGUGCGGGUGCCAGGUUAUCCGAUAUUUGAAUAGUAAUUAAAUAAA